Molecule: ribosomal RNA, 497 nt
Filed under: uncultured bacterium
Lineage: Bacteria
Description: partial 16S ribosomal RNA
Rfam family: Bacterial small subunit ribosomal RNA
Source: RNAcentral
GAUGAACGCUGGCGGCGUGCCUAAUACAUGCAAGUCGAGCGAACAGAUGAGGAGCUUGCUCCUCUGACGUUAGCGGCGGACGGGUGAGUAACACGUGGAUAACCUACCUAUAAGACUGGGAUAACUUCGGGAAACCGGAGCUAAUACCGGAUAAUAUAUUGAACCGCAUGGUUCAAUAGUGAAAGACGGUUUUGCUGUCACUUAUAGAUGGAUCCGCGCGGCAUUAGCUAGUUGGUAAGGUAACGGCUUACCAAGGCAACGAUGCGUAGCCGACCUGAGAGGGGGAUCGCCCACAUGGGAACGAGACCAGGGCCCAGCCUCCUACGGAAGGAAGAAGAAGGAAUCCUCCCGAAAGGGCGGAAGGCCUGACGGAGCACCGCCGGGGGGGUAAUAAAGUUGUUGGGACCUAAAAAUUUUGUUAUUAGGAAAAAAAAAAUGGGUAAGUAACAAUGCACGCCUUGAGGGUACCUAACAAGAAAGCCACGGCUAACUCCGUG